Molecule: ribosomal RNA, 253 nt
Filed under: uncultured bacterium
Lineage: Bacteria
Description: partial 16S ribosomal RNA
Rfam family: Bacterial small subunit ribosomal RNA
Source: RNAcentral
UACAGAGGGUGCAAGCGUUAAUCGGAAUUACUGGGCGUAAAGGGUGCGUAGGUGGUUCAAUAAGUUAGGUGUGAAAGCCCCGGGCUUAACCUGGGAAUGGCGCCUAAUACUGUUGAGCUAGAGUACUGUAGAGGAAGGUAGAAUUUCCAGUGUAGCGGUGAAAUGCGUAGAUAUUGGAAGGAAUACCAGUGGCGAAGGCGACCUUCUGGACAGAUACUGACACUGAGGCACGAAAGCGUGGGGAGCAAACAGG